This is a non-coding RNA of Chelonoidis abingdonii (Abingdon island giant tortoise), 109 nucleotides long. The record is from RefSeq and is a predicted model, not a curated record. Lineage: Eukaryota; Metazoa; Chordata; Testudines; Testudinidae.
GGUUUUCCUGCAAUUUGCUGGAGUCCUGUUUGGUUCCAAGCUGGCUCAUCAAAUUCUUUAUCUGAGAAGCUGAGGAAAAGAGUUUACAAUGCGCUGCACGCUGGCGCUG